GUUUUUCGUCUUGGAUACAACGGCAGUUCAGCUUCAGCGACUGAAGCGGCGACAUGUGGAGCGACAUGAGGAGCGACGUCAGUAGCAACGCAGUUUCCUCAGAGCGACGACGGAGAAAGAGAACGAUGACCAUUGCGUGAUGGAGCCAAAUCAGGACAUCAACGCGUUUUACCAAAGAUCGACUCCUCUUCAUCCUGUCCCUGUGGAGAUGGAUCUGCAACACAUGAGACGUACAACUCCUUUUUUUGCAGAGGACGCAGUUCCUCCAACGUCAUUGACCGGACUCCCCCUGUUCAUCAGGGGGAGUCCACCGUCCCCUGGGACUGCGCGGCCUCCCACCGCCCCCGGGG
Molecule: unclassified non-coding RNA, 350 nt
Filed under: Athalia rosae (coleseed sawfly)
Lineage: Eukaryota; Metazoa; Arthropoda; Insecta; Hymenoptera; Athaliidae
Description: misc RNA ENSAEAG00005007538.1
Source: RNAcentral